UGGGGUAUCGCCAAGCGGUAAGGCACCGGAUUAUGAUACCGGCAUUCCCAGGUUCGAAUCCUCGUACCCCAGCCA
Molecule: transfer RNA, 75 nt
Filed under: Salmonella enterica
Lineage: Bacteria; Pseudomonadati; Pseudomonadota; Gammaproteobacteria; Enterobacterales; Enterobacteriaceae
Also listed under: 1 other name
Description: tRNA-His
Rfam family: tRNA
About the family: Transfer RNA (tRNA) molecules are approximately 80 nucleotides in length.
Source: RNAcentral